AUGAACAGAAACUCCGGCAAAGACAUGAUUCCAGUUGGAGUCCUGUUGCUGUUGAUAUUGUCCGUUCAGUGUGAGGAUCAAAACUCCUACCCUGAGCAGGUGGUGUCUCGGGAAGUGGAACGCUUUGAACUGGACUGUCGGCUCUCCGUUGGCUCUGGUUAUACCGUAACCUGGCACAGACAAACACUGACAGGGGCUCCAACAUUUAUCGCCUCCAUUUUCCAGGGGCAUGUGACCAAAGGACGCUACACACUGUCCUUUGACCAAGCAAAGAAGGCCAAUACCAUCUCUGUAGAUGACACCGCGGCCCAGGACGCCGGAAUGUAUCACUGCCGGAAGCAGACACAUUGA
This is a non-coding RNA of Carcharodon carcharias (great white shark), 351 nucleotides long. Lineage: Eukaryota; Metazoa; Chordata; Chondrichthyes; Lamniformes; Lamnidae. The record is from the annotation of a RefSeq genome assembly.